RNAcentral lists this ribosomal RNA (200 nucleotides) under uncultured bacterium. RNAcentral's name for it is "partial 16S ribosomal RNA". It matches the Rfam family "Bacterial small subunit ribosomal RNA", at positions 8 to 210 of the family's 1533-position model. The record is from RNAcentral.
AGAGUUUGAUCAUGGCUCAGGACGAACGCUGGCGGCGUGCUUAACACAUGCAAGUCGAGCGGAAAGGCCCUUCGGGGUACUCGAGCGGCGAACGGGUGAGUAACACGUGAGCAACCUGCCCUUAGCACCGGGAUAGCUCCGGGAAACCGGAAUUAAUACCGGAUAUGACCACGGUCGGCAUGGACCAUGGUGGAAAGGUU